This 1473-nucleotide long non-coding RNA is filed under the name Pan troglodytes (chimpanzee). RNAcentral describes it as "long non-coding RNA NONPTRT001929". Lineage: Eukaryota; Metazoa; Chordata; Mammalia; Primates; Hominidae. The record is from RNAcentral.
CUGGGGGUCUGGAGUGGCUUGCGUUUGACACACAAAGAAUCCAGGGCAAGGAUGAUACCCACACACAGGGUGUCUGCACUGGAAAGGGCUCCGUGUAUUUACCUGUAGGGCAAUUCAAUUAAAACUCAAGAAAGGGGUAAAUCUAUGAGAUUAGCUCCAGGAACAAUGGCGCUGAUUGUUGCUGGCCCUCACCAUCCCUAUGAAAGCAGAUGUUAAACAAAUAUUUUGAUGCCUCCAAUCAGCCCCAGUGUGAAUCUCCUGUUUUUGUUUUUCUUUAUCUCCAGAGAUGGGAAUUCUACAGUCUUCAUCAGUAGCCCACUUUGGUGAUCUAUUUAAAAUUGGUGAUCUAUUUAAAAGAUUCCAUAGAACUUGAUUGUAAAUAUCCAAAUGGAGGGGCAUGAUUCAUUAAUAUAGGGACAUUCUGGAGUUGUCCAUUCGGCCUUUGCUCCUCCCCAUUCUCAGAAGCACCCUUCAUUACCGGAGAGGUUUCUUGGACGUUUGUGGCAGGCUCAGGAGGAAGAGAAGAGGUAGAGGGGGAAAAGUGUAUAGACUGGGGGCUGGGGGCAAUAUUGCUGGGAGGACCCUCAAAGGAAGCCACUGGAGUCUUCUAGAUGUUUGGAAGAGAGGAGUAGUUGAGCAGCUGCAGUGUGACACAAUGGAAAAGUAAUUUAAGAAGUGUCCUGGGCCACAUAUUCCCUUCAUUGACAGAAAGGAGCAGAGGUGAAGACGAAGAAACUUUCCACUGAAAGAGGGGACUGCAGACCCAACCAGGCCCUUCACAUUGGGGGUGGACACCAGCAGCCUAGGGGGCCCCCAGCACAUUCCACCAGGGAACACAUUCCUGCCUGCACCCCUGGCCCAGAAUUAAGGCAUAUUAUGAAUAUUCAGUGAAACAACGUGUGUGCUCACCAGGCAGGAAGAGCUCAGCAAAUGGUGGCUGGUCUGGAAAUUAUUGUCAUCACUAUAAUCCUCAUCGACAUCAUCAGCCUUAUUGUCAUCAUCAUCAACCUCAUCAACGUCAUCAUCAGCCUCAUCAACGUCAUCAUCAGCCUCAUCACUGUCAUCAUCAGCCCUUUGUCAUCAUCAUCAUCCACCUUGCUGUUCUCUUCCUUGUUGACAUCACUAUCCUCAUCCUCCUCAUCACCAUCAACAGCAUUAUUUUUAUUUUUUAUUCUUCCACCUGUAAGAGUUUCUUUUCCUCCCUCUUAUUGUUUUCCUCUUGGGAUGACUAGUGGUGAAGGAAGUGUCAGAGGCAAUGACCUCACAGCUGUCGUUGCCAUGGGUGACACCUCCUAGAGAGACCUUACUGGAACUUUCAGUCCAGGGGAGUUUCUGCUGUUCCAGGAUGGAGGAAAUGUUCAAGAACUGUGGAGCAUCUGAGACUUUUUCCUACUUUUGAUGUCCACCUAGUCAAAGUUCAGAGGCAGAAGUGGAGACCCAGUAAUGUUGAGUAACUUAAAUUCAACCAGCAAA